This 253-nucleotide ribosomal RNA is filed under the name uncultured bacterium. RNAcentral describes it as "partial 16S ribosomal RNA". It matches the Rfam family "Bacterial small subunit ribosomal RNA", at positions 524 to 776 of the family's 1533-position model. The record is from RNAcentral.
UACGAAGGGGGCUAGCGUUGCUCGGAAUCACUGGGCGUAAAGCGCACGUAGGCGGACUCUUAAGUCAGGGGUGAAAUCCUGGAGCUCAACUCCAGAACUGCCUUUGAUACUGGGAGUCUUGAGUCCGGGAGAGGUGAGUGGAACUGCGAGUGUAGAGGUGAAAUUCGUAGAUAUUCGCAAGAACACCAGUGGCGAAGGCGGCUCACUGGCCCGGUACUGACGCUGAGGUGCGAAAGCGUGGGGAGCAAACAGG